This 714-nucleotide ribosomal RNA is filed under the name uncultured bacterium. RNAcentral describes it as "bacterial SSU rRNA". It matches the Rfam family "Bacterial small subunit ribosomal RNA", at positions 141 to 850 of the family's 1533-position model. The record is from RNAcentral.
GGAUAACUACUGGAAACGGUAGCUAAUACCGCAUAACGUCGCAAGACCAAAGAGGGGGACCUUCGGGCCUCUUGCCAUCGGAUGUGCCCAGAUGGGAUUAGCUAGUAGGUGGGGUAACGGCUCACCUAGGCGGCGAUCCCUAGCUGGUCUGAGAGGAUGACCAGCCACACUGGAACUGAGACACGGUCCAGACUCCUACGGGAGGCAGCAGUGGGGAAUAUUGCACAAUGGGCGCAAGCCUGAUGCAGCCAUGCCGCGUGUAUGAAGAAGGCCUUCGGGUUGUAAAGUACUUUCAGCGAGGAGGAAGGUGUUGUGGUUAAUAACCGCAGCAAUUGACGUUACUCGCAGAAGAAGCACCGGCUAACUCCGUGCCAGCAGUCGCGGUAAUACGGAGGGUGCAAGCGUUAAUCGGAAUUACUGGGCGUAAAGCGCACGCAGGCGGCCUGUCAAGUCGGAUGUGAAAUCCCCGGGCUCAACCUGGGAACUGCAUCCGAAACUGGCAGGCUAGAGUCUUGUAGAGGGGGGUAGAAUUCCAGGUGUAGCGGUGAAAUGCGUAGAGAUCUGGAGGGAUACCGGUGGCGAAGGCGGCCCCCUGGACAAAGACUGACGCUCAGGUGCGAAAGCGUGGGGAGCAAACAGGAUUAGAUACCCUGGUAGUCCACGCCGUAAACGAUGUCGACGUGGAGGUUGUGCCCUUGAGGCGUGGCUUCCGGA